Molecule: ribosomal RNA, 497 nt
Filed under: uncultured bacterium
Lineage: Bacteria
Description: partial 16S ribosomal RNA
Rfam family: Bacterial small subunit ribosomal RNA
Source: RNAcentral
GACGAACGCUGGCGGCGUGCCUAAUACAUGCAAGUUGAGCGCUGAAGGUUGGUACUUGUACCAACUGGAUGAGCAGCGAACGGGUGAGUAACGCGUGGGGAAUCUGCCUUUGAGCGGGGGACAACAUUUGGAAACGAAUGCUAAUACCGCAUAAAAACUUUAAACACAAGUUUUAAGUUUGAAAGAUGCAAUUGCAUCACUCAAAGAUGAUCCCGCGUUGUAUUAGCUAGUUGGUGAGGUAAAGGCUCGCCAAGGCGAUGAUACAUAGCCGACCUGAGAGGGUGAUCGGCCACAUUGGGACUGAGACACGGCCCAAACUCCUACGGGAGGCAGCAGUAGGGAAUCUUCGGCAAUGGACGAAAGUCUGACCGAGCAACGCCGCGUGAGUGAAGAAGGUUUUCGGAUCGUAAAAAUCUGUUGGUAGAGAAGAACGUUGGUGAGAGUGGAAAGCUCAUCAAGUGACGGUAACUACCCAGAAAGGGACGGCUAACUACGUG